AUAUUUAAAAUAACAUCAGUAACUUAAUGUGAAUGUACAUAGUAUUUAAAGAGGUCCAAAAAUGUGUUUGCCAAAUAACAGAAACCUUUAAAGUAAUGUACAAUGUCCAGAAUAUGAUUUCUUUCCAGUUCAUUUUUUAAUCAAAGGAAUUUUCAUUUCUCAUAAAUCCUUCUUUUCUACCAGAUUAGCAAAGUCUGUUGAGUGUGUAAUCUCAAAAAGAUGUUAUGAGGAGGGAUGUUGGCAGCGAUAGUGGUUCUCUUCUGGAGUCACAGUUCUUCUAGCUCCCCCUAUGAUUGAUGGCAGCGUACUCCACUGACUCCCUUCAAGAGGAGCCAGCUAUAGCUCUCAUGACAGGCCCAAGAGGAUGGUUUUAAAGAGGAGAAAGAGAGGCUUAUCACACAUUGAUUCUAAAAGCGUCCUAGCGUGAGGCUAAAUUACUCCACUACUCUGGAUAUUGGAUUCAAAACUGCAACAACUUGUGCCCAAAAAGUUAUCUGUAUCUGUGUGAAACAUUGCCAUCCAUUGGGCUGGAUUGCCACUGCAGUGGGCCACACUGAAAACCCUGUGGGCUGCCCUCAAAACAAAGCCAACACACUGGUCUGGAAGUCUGAAGCUUAACCUAACCGUGAUACUGCCCAAUCCUUUCACUGGUUAUUUUUUCUUACUCUGUCCAUAGAUUAGUUUGUGAAGAUGCAGUCUGAGUCAUUUUUCCUCGUGUAGCUUUAGGAUCCUAGCAAGGCAAGAAGUACUCAGAAACUGGGAGAGUUGGAACAGAUGUCUUCACAAUCAGACUAACAAGGAGGAAUGCCAUCUCAUACACCCUCUGCUCUUUAACCCCCACCUGGACAUCCCUCCUGUCUCCUGACCCACCACAAGCUACCUCCUGUGACGCUGCAGCACAUGACUGGGAGAGGUCACCGAGCUUUGGGAGCAGGGCUGCGAGCAGACAUGCAAACUCACACAAACAUCAGAGCAAAUAGGAAACAAACCCGAAAGAUCUAAUACAGAUAACUUUACAAUGUGUAUAUUUUCGCAGCUCAACUCUGUCAGUCAGAAAUAGGGAUCAAAUGAGGAACACUCAGAUGAUUUGGAUUCUAGACUCUCUACGUACACUACACUGUCCAGGGUUCGAUAUACAGAAAUUCCUUCCAUACCCCAGCUGAACGUUAAACCAUUACAUGCCAUUUGUAGUCCAAAACAAAUAAAAGCACAGACCAAAGUAUUUCUGCACGGCAGUGGAUUUUGAAAUUGUGUAGAGAAAGACCAGAAAUAAGGAGGCUUGAGGCCAACUAUACCUGUUAACCAAAGUGUCUGAAAUAAACACAU
Molecule: long non-coding RNA, 1326 nt
Filed under: Salmo salar (Atlantic salmon)
Lineage: Eukaryota; Metazoa; Chordata; Actinopteri; Salmoniformes; Salmonidae
Description: lncRNA (ENSSSAG00000113987.1)
Source: RNAcentral